This 253-nucleotide ribosomal RNA is filed under the name uncultured bacterium. Its description in RNAcentral is "partial 16S ribosomal RNA". It matches the Rfam family "Bacterial small subunit ribosomal RNA", at positions 524 to 776 of the family's 1533-position model. The record is from RNAcentral.
UACGUAGGGGGCAAGCGUUGUCCGGAUUUAUUGGGCGUAAAGAGCGUGUAGGCGGCUUUACAGGUCCGUUGUGAAAACUCGAGGCUCAACCUCGAGACGCCGAUGGAAACCAUGUGGCUAGAGUCCGGAAGAGGAGAGUGGAAUUCCUGGUGUAGCGGUGAAAUGCGCAGAUAUCAGGAAGAACACCCGUGGCUAAGGCGGCUCUCUAGUACGGUACUGACGCUGAGACGCGAAAGCGUGGGGAGCGAACAGG